Apis mellifera (honey bee) is the source of this 5536-nucleotide long non-coding RNA. RefSeq lists it as uncharacterized. Lineage: Eukaryota; Metazoa; Arthropoda; Insecta; Hymenoptera; Apidae. The transcript is spliced from 3 exons. The record is from RefSeq and is a predicted model, not a curated record.
CCUCGUGUGUGACUCGAGAGAAUGAGAAUGGCGUUGUUGUUUUUUUUCUUCUACGAGAGAGAGGAUUUAUUAUUAUAAUUCUGGAGGAGGGAAUUGUAAUGAAAUUGGACGAAUUUUAUUAUUAUUCGAAGAAUUUCUUUCGAGAAGAAACUUGAACUUGUGGAGAAACUAUGAAGUCUGUUUAAAGUUUUAUAAAACUUGUUUCAUAAUUGUGAAUAGUAAUGAACAGUACGUGAAAUAAUAGGAAGGAAAUAAGCGUUCGAUAUAGGAGGAUAACGGAGCUCGUAAAGAGUCGUAAACGAAUUAUGAUCGACGCUCGAUUGCGGAAACGUAUGAAUCAACUGAUAGUUGAUGACUCAUCCCUCCCCCUCCCCCGUCAAUUUAUGAACUCCCUGGACACUUCGGUUUUAAUCAGCUACGUCACGGACGUCAAUUACUCAUCGUUUAUAAUAAAGGAAGAAGAUAAUGAACAAGCAACUACUUAUGUACAUACGUUCGGUAUUCUUAUUGAAGACAAUCGAAAGCGAUAAUCGAGAAUGCAAAUAUCGGCGCCAUUUCCAAGGGCGAGAACGAUCGAGAUUCCAAUCCAAGAUUUUCAUUUUGCCAUUGGGAAUCCAAUUGUUUUAUUAAGAAAAAAAAAAUAUAUUCUCUUCUCUCUUCGAAUUUAUUUCGUCACAAUUCAUUACAAUUUCAUUUUCGAGAAGAAUAUCGUAUCAACGGGGAUUAAAAUGGAUUAAAAUUAAAGAAGGUCCGAAUGACUGAAAAGCAAGGCGAAAUGUUAAAGGCAGGCACGUUUAGGGGGAUCAUCUUCCACGGCGGAAACAUUGUUUCUGUACCCGUUUCGCGACACGAUUCGCCACAAUAUUGCACAUUAAUCGCAUAACCGUUGGUUGCGCAACCAACGUGGCUUCCAUUGUGCGAGUCGUAAGCGCGCAGACACGAUCGACGAUAAUAAUGAUCUUUUGUCUUUCUUUGGCCAAAGGACGCGUUAACGACGCGCGACUUAGACGCCCGGCUAAAGAUCCACGUGUCACGUUAUUUGUUUCCUAUUGUGCCGUAAAUAACAGAGCCGGGAUGGUAAUUCUCUCGCGUGGAUAAAACCGGGCCUUGGAGAAGAUACGACAUUAUUCCGAUGAUAUAUCAACGAGAUUUCGAAUAUUUCUUGGGACGAAAUAGGAAUGCUCUAAAAAUUUCGAAUUAUUUUGUGCAUACAGGGAUCGAAAAUUCGGGGAAGCUUUUCAAUUUGUGAGGGGAAAUUUAUUUCCUGGCAAUGGCAUAUUCCAGUUCGCUGAACGAGCUGUCCAAGCACGGUUAUGCUAAAGCCAAAUCGGAAUCAUCUUGCUCCUGACGAGGGUUAAUUUCGUUAUCCAUCAAGUGUUUGUCCACUAGAGUCGUUGUCACUCGGGGGAUGAACUGCGAGGCAACGAAAACAGGAUUGCAGACUUAAGAGUCUUAACGUUCACCCACCCAUCCCUCUCCGAGAUGAUUACAACGCGUCAAUCUAUCGAGAUUCGCCAACCAAUGUACACAAGGAAUAAUACUUCUCUUCGUGGUAUUAUAUAAACUGACGAGCUCUUUCUCCGUUUAAUUGAGAAUCUUUUUCAGAAAAAAAAAAAAGGAUACUAAAAAUCAACUCCUUUUUAUCUCGAAUCUACAUCCAGGAACAAUUAAUUAGUGUCACGAUUCGAAGCAAGAAUUAAUAGGAACAAUCAUAGAAUCAACUUGUUACAUAUCCUUUGGAAAACAAAUUUUUCUUCCACGAAAGGACAAACUUUUAUCGCUUUGCAAAGCGAUUAACACCGAUUCGUGGACGCUAAAAUUCGACGGAACGGCCAAUAAGAUCCUCUUCUCCCCUCGAAAUGGGAUGGACGGAAGUUCUUGGCGGGUAAACUUGUUUAAUGAACGAACAAGGGACGUCUGUCCACCGUCUGGCAAAUCGUCGGCGGCCCACACCCCUACCUAUCCGUGGUAUACGUGUCUCCCUUGUCGACAACUGCGAGAAACUCAUCUAACGUGAUUUCGGUUUCACCAGGCUCGAGGAAUGGUAUCGAGGAUGGAGAAACAGUUGUCUAGUCGUUUGUUGGACACGUGUACAGGAGAUAAUGUUGAUAGAUCGUGGGAAAGGUAAGUGAUUUUUUUGCUUUUGAUAUCUGAAGAUAAAUGAAUGAUAAUUCCUUUCGAAAAUAUUGUAUACGUGGAUCGAUAUCGUUAAAGUUAAUUAUUCCAGAAAGAAUGUUGGAGCAAAGGGUAAUUCGAAUAACGAAACGAUUAACAGGGGACGAUUAAUUGGGAAGAUAGAAGUGAAAGAGGGAUAAGGGGGGAGAGUGGUAUCAAGCAUCAGAAACUGGGAAAUUUUCAUCGGUCGAUGCACGCAACUCGGGGGUUGGGGAAGAGAGAAUGACCACGAUCCUUUGAAGUCUUGUCAGGGCUGCUUUUCAGAUUAUAUUCUCCAAAGAGAAUGCUUCAAACGAGUUCUCUUUUCUCCGGUGACAAAACCAGAAUAACAGUUUAACAGGCGUGUUUAUGGAAAGGAGGUGAGAGGGAAGCAAAGAGGGGGAAGCUGUCUGCGGCAAAGUUCUCAUUUUCGCGGGUAUCAAAAGGUGGCCGCAGGUGGUAUCUGCACUCGUCUUCUGGCUGGGAUCGACAGUCAGGAUGAUCCCUUUGUUUCUCGAUAUAAAUCAAUAUAUCCUCAAAUUGCUCCUGUCGCGAGAUUUCCAAUCGUGACAGAUAUUAUCGAUCUUUUCCCUGUGGAAAGGGAAAUAUCCAUAAAUAUUCAUUUUCAUGAAUAAAAAAAAAAGAAAGAGGGGAAAAAUAUUCCAUUUCAUAAAUCUCCGAUCUUUUAACUCGUGUUUCGAUCGGAUGAACGAGAAACACAGGAAAGUAUCGAUUCAAAAAUCUUGUUGUCCCGGAUAAAAAUUGUAAUUUUCGUCCAGGUCUCGUUUUAAAUAUUCCUUGUCGUACCAUUUGUGCAAUAUGUAUACAAUUUAUCUUUUGUAGCAGUGUCCACGAUUUGAUUGUCACGUAUUCCGUAAAUCGAGAAAAAACGCAGCUGAAGCUAUUCCAUAUUGACAGACGAAAUAUAUAUAUAUAAAGAGAGAAAAAAUAUAGAAAGAGGACGAUUAUACACAAGAACCAAUAACACAAUUUUCUGUUUUUAAUCUUUUUGAAUAUAUCAAUUAAAUGCUAAAAUAAAUCGAAAAGUUCAACCACGACUUGGAUGUUUAUCAAGAAAGAAUUACUCGAAGGGAAUUUUUAAUUUAUUCCAUCUUACGUGACUUUUGCCUCUGUUUUAUUCUAUCUUCGAGUUAACCAUAGUUUCGAAGAGAAUAAGAAAAAUUUAAGAAUUAAAAAAAAAAAAAAGAAGAGAAGAGUUUAAUGAUUAAAAUUCGUAGGAAGGAAUCGUUCAAAUAUCCUUGAUAUUCGAGGAAUGUUGAGAGGCACAAGAGGCGUCGAUAUUUCAUUUUCCAGGCGAUCGGUAAACCAAUCACAACGAGGAAAAGUACCUCUCCACCCUUUGUGUCUCGCGAUCUUGGCGUAACUUGUUAAUGAACCACCCUCGACACCCGCCGCAACCAUAACCGCCAACUUUGAUCCUAUCGCUCGCCUUUCUGUCGCGACGAUUAUGGCAAAUCCAAGGUUUUUCUUUUUUCAAUUUUUUAUCCCGCCUGUAAACGAGGCUGUUAACCAUAUUAAAUUUGCCUCAUUAACUUAUGGAAGCAUUAUCAUAUAAUAUAAUAACAGCGAAACAUUGUCGUGACCUCGUGCAAUUAACUGAGGGAUAACAGAAGAGUUUAAUUUGAAAGAAAAUAUUUCGCGUAUGUAUUUCAAUUUAAUUAUUGUUUGUGCACACGCUGAUACGAUGUCACGUUUAGUAAAAAAUAAUUCAAGAAACUUGUCGAAAACUUGUGGUAAAAACAAAAACUGAAUUAUCUUUGUAGAAAAACGAAUGACGUAAAGGUGUUCGAAUUAUCAAAUAAACGUUACGAACGUUGGGAAGAAAAAUCUAAUAACCUGAUAACAUUGAGGAGUGUGGUAUAUUUCAAACCAUUUAAGCAAAUGGAACGGCCAUUGUUCUACAUCAGACAGCCUCGUAAUUCUUUCCUCAUAGUGUAUUUCCUUGCUUGACAUCUUUUAAUAAAUUAUAAAUUAAACUGCUAGUUUAUAUUUACCAUCCAAUUUGAUUAAUCUUUAUUUUACUAGAAUACAAGAAAUAACUAUACAACUCGUUUCAAUAUAUCCAAACAUACUCCAGAGGAUUAAUGCACAAUUCACUCAAAAAAGAUGCAUUGUUUCCAAAGCGAUCGAACAAAGAAAUCUGAAUCGCUGUUUAAAUUUUCCAUCCCCAAGAAGAUUCGAAGCGGAAGAGGAAAUGUACCGGUUGAACACAGCACCAUCCACUCUUUACACGGUUCGAGGAUUAUUUACACGGCCCGUGAAAAAUCCUCCGAUCGGAUGCAACAAACUUGUUUACGAGCGGUUUGAGCCAGGGCGGCAGCUCUGAUACGCGUCGACCAUCCCUCCCUUUCUCCAACCCCUUUGUCCCAACUCCGCGCCCCAAUCGGGAUCAAUAUGUUCCCCGGUCGUGGAUCGUCGUGGAAACGUUGUGGAAAACGCCUUGCACCGAGGUAAGGACGAUAAAUCUUGAUUUCGGGGCAUUGAUAUGCCUUGCCGUGUCUCGAGGAAACGCUGUUGGAAGCGCGAGAUCGAUGGAUCCCCGCUUCAUGGGGGAUAAUUUCGAAUGGCGGAUGCAAUCCAGGGUGCAGACGAUACUGUCGGGAUCCAUCCACUUCCGGGAUGUCCCUUCCGCGUGGCUUUAUCUCUCGAUUAUUGACUGGUUUCGAAACGAGAAGCCGUUAUCGCUUUGCGUUUCUAUUCACGCGAUCGAUGAAGGGACGGUGAUGUUUCUUAACGAAUGAUGGAUACGAAUGAUGGUUUGGUAGAAAUUUGCAGAUGAAGUAUUUCUUUAAUAUGUUUCAGUGUUUACAUCUUGAAUUAUUGUAAUUUGAUAUCUUAAUCAAUUGUAUAAACUAUAUCAAUUGUGGGGAAAGGUAUUGUAUAGGAAAUACGAUGAUCGAGAUGAAAGUUAUUUAAUCAAUUGGCAGACUUCGAAUGUUAAAGAAAUGUUAAAGUGGAAGAUCGAGUGGAAUUCGUUGAUCUUGAAUUCAACUAUUUUUAAAGUGCAAAUUCUAUUUUUUUUUUUAACGAUAAUAUAAUGUACACGCAUAGAUAUGUAAGUAUAUUUUAGUGAGAUAAUUUAUUUUCAAGGAAGCCACGAUACAAUAAAUUGAACGUUUAACACACGUGUGUGUGUGUGUACUCGUUUUACAUGAAUGUAAUAUUAAUGAUAACUUUGAAAUUCCUUCUAUCGGUUUUAUUUAUUAUACUUUUCGAGUUAUUCGGUUCAAAAAUAUUCAAGGUUAAUCAAGGAAACACGGAAAAUAUUACGAAACAGUGAAAUAGUUUUUAAAGAUGAUCUAAUUCUAGACAAAUUAUAAAUAUAACAAAAACGAGAGAGUGUCUACUGAAAAUUCAAUCG